This 253-nucleotide ribosomal RNA is filed under the name uncultured bacterium. RNAcentral describes it as "partial 16S ribosomal RNA". It matches the Rfam family "Bacterial small subunit ribosomal RNA", at positions 524 to 776 of the family's 1533-position model. The record is from RNAcentral.
UACGGAGGGAGCUAGCGUUGUUCGGAAUUACUGGGCGUAAAGCGCACGUCGGCGGCUACUCAAGUCAGAGGUGAAAGCCCAGGGCUCAACCUUGGAACUGCCUUUGAAACUAGGUAGCUAGAAUUCUGGAGAGGUCAGUGGAAUUCCGAGUGUAGAGGUGAAAUUCGUAGAUAUUCGGAAGAACACCAGUGGCGAAGGCGGCUGACUGGUCCGGUUCUGACGCUGAGGCGCGAAAGCGUGGGGAGCAAACAGG